RNAcentral lists this long non-coding RNA (359 nucleotides) under Homo sapiens (human). Its description in RNAcentral is "HSALNT0198014". The record is from RNAcentral. Lineage: Eukaryota; Metazoa; Chordata; Mammalia; Primates; Hominidae.
UCCUAGACAGCAGACAGGCUUCUUAGAGAUCCUCAGAGACAAUUGUGGGGCCUCUGGAAGUGUGAAUUCUACAUUCCCCACCCCUGACCGCUUUCGGUUUUCUUUUUCUUGGCCAUUUUCUUUGGUGUCUGUAUUAGUUAGGGUUCUCUAGAGAGACAGAACAAAUAGAAGAUAUAUAUAUGAGUUUAUUAAGUAUUAAAUCACAUGAUCAUAAAGUCCCACAAUAGGCCAUCUGCCAGCUGAGAUGCAAGGAAAGCCACCCACAGCCCUCAAGCAUGUGGACAUCUGGGAAUUGGCCACUCUACAUUAGUAAGGAGUCUCUUGGGGUCUCCUGUACAAAGCAGCAAAUGAUGACUGAG